RNAcentral lists this transfer RNA (78 nucleotides) under Nostoc sp. HK-01. RNAcentral describes it as "tRNA-Asp". It matches the Rfam family "tRNA". Rfam says of the family: Transfer RNA (tRNA) molecules are approximately 80 nucleotides in length. Lineage: Bacteria; Bacillati; Cyanobacteriota; Cyanophyceae; Nostocales; Nostocaceae. The record is from RNAcentral.
GGGGGUGUAGCUUAGUCUGGUUUAAAGCAGUCGCCUGUCGAGCUUCAUAACAUGGGUUCAAAUCCCUUCAUCCCCGCC